ACUAAGCGUACACGGUGGAUGCCCUGGCAGUCAGAGGCGAUGAAGGACGUGCUAAUCUGCGAUAAGCGCCGGUAAGGUGAUAUGAACCGUUAUAACCGGCGAUUUCCGAAUGGGGAAACCCAGUGUGAUUCGUCACACUAUCAUUAACUGAAUCCAUAGGUUAAUGAGGCGAACCGGGGGAACUGAAACAUCUAAGUACCCCGAGGAAAAGAAAUCAACCGAGAUUCCCCCAGUAGCGGCGAGCGAACGGGGAGGAGCCCAGAGCCUGAAUCAGCAUGUGUGUUAGUGGAAGCGUCUGGAAAGGCGCGCGAUACAGGGUGACAGCCCCGUACACAAAAGCGCAUGUGCUGUGAGCUCGAUGAGUAGGGCGGGACACGUGGUAUCCUGUCUGAAUAUGGGGGGACCAUCCUCCAAGGCUAAAUACUCCUGACUGACCGAUAGUGAACCAGUACCGUGAGGGAAAGGCGAAAAGAACCCCGGCGAGGGGAGUGAAAAAGAACCUGAAACCGUGUACGUACAAGCAGUGGGAGCNUGAGGGAAAGGCGAAAAGAACCCCGGCGAGGGGAGUGAAAAAGAACCUGAAACCGUGUACGUACAAGCAGUGGGAGCCCCACCACUAAGCCAGUGGUGAACUCCACAUACGCAUCCUUUGCUGAGGAUACGGUUAACGGAGCGCAAGCGACGUUCAACCGCAAAAGAAGCAGAGGGGGCUUAGUGGUGGGGUGACUGCGUACCUUUUGUAUAAUGGGUCAGCGACUUAUAUUCUGUAGCAAGGUUAACCGUAUAGGGGAGCCGGAGGGAAACCGAGUCUUAAUUGGGCGUUAAGUUGCAGGGUAUAGACCCGAAACCCGGUGAUCUAGCCAUGGGCAGGUUGGGCGUUAAGUUGCAGGGUAUAGACCCGAAACCCGGUGAUCUAGCCAUGGGCAGGUUGAAGGUUGGGUAACACUAACUGGAGGACCGAACCGACUAAUGUUGAAAAAUUAGCGGAUGACCUGUGGCUGGGGGUGAAAGGCCAAUCAAACCGGGAGAUAGCUGGUUCUCCCCGAAAGCUAUUUAGGUAGCGCCUCGUGAAUUCAUCUCCGGGGGUAGAGCACUGUUUCGGCUAGGGGGCCAUCCCGGCUUACCAACCCGAUGCAAACUGCGAAUACCGGAGAAUGUUAUCACGGGAGACACACGGCGGGUGCUAACGUCCGUCGUGAAGAGGGAAACAACCCAGACCGCCAGCUAAGGUCCCAAAGUCAUGGUUAAGUGGGAAACGAUGUGGGAAGGCCCAGACAGCCAGGAUGUUGGCUUAGAAGCAGCCAUCAUUUAAAGAAAGCGUAAUAGCUCACUGGUCGAGUCGGCCUGCGCGGAAGAUGUAACGGGGCUAAACCAUGCACCGAAGCUGCGGCAGCGAACGUAUCACUUAAAGCGAUUCAGCGGGUUACGAUUGACGGAGCGAAGCGACGUCAAAGCGUAUACAAAGUCGAGUCGGUUUAAGGAUACGUUCGUUGGGUAGGGGAGCGUUCUGUAAGCCUGUGAAGGUGGCCUGUGAGGGUUGCUGGAGGUAUCAGAAGUGCGAAUGCUGACAUAAGUAACGAUAAAGCGGGUGAAAAGCCCGCUCGCCGGAAGACCAAGGGUUCCUGUCCAACGUUAAUCGGGGCAGGGUGAGUCGACCCCUAAGGCGAGGCCGAAAGGCGUAGUCGAUGGGAAACGGGUUAAUAUUCCCGUACUUGGUGUUACUGCGAAGGGGGGACGGAGAAGGCUAUGUUGGCCGGGCGACGGUUGUCCCGGUUUAAGCGUGUAGGUGUGUGUUCCAGGUAAAUCCGGUUCACUUUAACACUGAGGCGUGAUGACGAGGCACUACGGUGCUGAAGCAACAAAUGCCCUGCUUCCAGGAAAAGCCUCUAAGCAUCAGGUAACAUCAAAUCGUACCCCAAACCGACACAGGUGGUCAGGUAGAGAAUACCAAGGCGCUUGAGAGAACUCGGGUGAAGGAACUAGGCAAAAUGGUGCCGUAACUUCGGGAGAAGGCACGCUGACAUGUAGGUGAAGUGAUUUACUCAUGGAGCUGAAGUCAGUCGAAGAUACCAGCUGGCUGCAACUGUUUAUUAAAAACACAGCACUGUGCAAACACGAAAGUGGACGUAUACGGUGUGACGCCUGCCCGGUGCCGGAAGGUUAAUUGAUGGGGUCAGCGCAAGCGAAGCUCCUGAUCGAAGCCCCGGUAAACGGCGGCCGUAACUAUAACGGUCCUAAGGUAGCGAAAUUCCUUGUCGGGUAAGUUCCGACCUGCACGAAUGGCGUAAUGAUGGCCAGGCUGUCUCCACCCGAGACUCAGUGAAAUUGAACUCGCUGUGAAGAUGCAGUGUACCCGCGGCAAGACGGAAAGACCCCGUGAACCUUUACUAUAGCUUGACACUGAACAUUGAGCCUUGAUGUGUAGGAUAGGUGGGAGGCUUUGAAGUGUGGACGCCAGUCUGCAUGGAGCCGGCCUUGAAAUACCACCCUUUAAUGUUUGAUGUUCUAACGUGGACCCGUGAUCCGGGUUGCGGACAGUGUCUGGUGGGUAGUUUGACUGGGGCGGUCUCCUCCUAAAGAGUAACGGAGGAGCACGAAGGUUGGCUAAUCCUGGUCGGACAUCAGGAGGUUAGUGCAAUGGCAUAAGCCAGCUUGACUGCGAGCGUGACGGCGCGAGCAGGUGCGAAAGCAGGUCAUAGUGAUCCGGUGGUUCUGAAUGGAAGGGCCAUCGCUCAACGGAUAAAAGGUACUCCGGGGAUAACAGGCUGAUACCGCCCAAGAGUUCAUAUCGACGGCGGUGUUUGGCACCUCGAUGUCGGCUCAUCACAUCCUGGGGCUGAAGUAGGUCCCAAGGGUAUGGCUGUUCGCCAUUUAAAGUGGUACGCGAGCUGGGUUUAGAACGUCGUGAGACAGUUCGGUCCCUAUCUGCCGUGGGCGCUGGAGAACUGAGGGGGGCUGCUCCUAGUACGAGAGGACCGGAGUGGACGCAUCACUGGUGUUCGGGUUGUCAUGCCAAUGGCACUGCCCGGUAGCUAAAUGCGGAAGAGAUAAGUGCUGAAAGCAUCUAAGCACGAAACUUGCCCCGAGAUGAGUUCUCCCUGAGACUUAAAGUCUCCUGAAGGAACGUUGAAGACGACGACGUUGAUAGGCCGGGUGUGUAAGCGCAGCGAUGCGUUGAGCUAACCGGUACUAAUGAACCGUGAGGCUUAACC
This 3212-nucleotide ribosomal RNA is filed under the name Salmonella enterica subsp. enterica serovar Derby. RNAcentral's name for it is "bacterial LSU rRNA". It matches the Rfam family "Bacterial large subunit ribosomal RNA". Lineage: Bacteria; Pseudomonadati; Pseudomonadota; Gammaproteobacteria; Enterobacterales; Enterobacteriaceae. The record is from RNAcentral.